Passer domesticus (house sparrow) is the source of this 382-nucleotide long non-coding RNA. RefSeq lists it as uncharacterized. The record is from RefSeq and is a predicted model, not a curated record. Lineage: Eukaryota; Metazoa; Chordata; Aves; Passeriformes; Passeridae. The transcript has 3 exons.
GAGAGUCUAACACACCAGAUCUUUUGAAGUAAUGAUAAGCGGGCAUGGUCUGUGGAGCAGAGAAGCCAUAGCACAGAGCAGAAUGGGGAGAAAGAGCUGCAACACCUUGGCAGGAGGAAAUCCAGUGGAUGUCUUGAUGAACUGUUUGUGAGGUUGACUAAGAAGCAACAGGACAAUUCAAGGUGAGAUUGUGUUUGGUUUUUGCAUGGCCUUUUGAACAAACUUGAAGAGCAUUCCUUCUGACCCACCAUCAAGAAGGUGAAAGAGUGAAGCAGAACAAGGACCAGAUACAGACUGAUGUCUUCAGCUUCCAAUUUUCAUUUUAGUAAAGGGGGAAUUAUCUGAAGCAGAAAUUCAAAUAUUGUUCUCCUUAAGAAAAGUC